This 102-nucleotide microRNA precursor is filed under the name Marmota monax (woodchuck). Lineage: Eukaryota; Metazoa; Chordata; Mammalia; Rodentia; Sciuridae. The record is from RNAcentral.
AGUGGGAUAGCUGGGUCAAAUGGUGGUUCCAUUCCAAGUUUUCUAAGGAAUCUCUAUACUGCUGUUCAGAGUGGUACUCCAAUUUGCAGUCUCACCAGCUAU